GGUGGGGUUUCCGAGUGGUUAAAGGAGGCAGACUGUAAAUCUGUUGGCAACGCCUUCGAAGGUUCGAAUCCUUCUCCCACCACCA
Molecule: transfer RNA, 85 nt
Filed under: Candidatus Epulonipiscium sp.
Lineage: Bacteria; Bacillati; Bacillota; Clostridia; Lachnospirales; Lachnospiraceae
Description: tRNA-Tyr
Rfam family: tRNA
About the family: Transfer RNA (tRNA) molecules are approximately 80 nucleotides in length. Their secondary structure includes four short double-helical elements and three loops (D, anti-codon, and T loops). Further hydrogen bonds mediate the characteristic L-shaped molecular structure. tRNAs have two regions of fundamental functional importance: the anti-codon, which is responsible for specific mRNA codon recognition, and the 3' end, to which the tRNAs corresponding amino acid is attached (by aminoacyl-tRNA synthetases). tRNAs cope with the degeneracy of the genetic code in two manners: having more than one tRNA (with a specific anti-codon) for a particular amino acid; and 'wobble' base-pairing, i.e. permitting non-standard base-pairing at the 3rd anti-codon position.
Source: RNAcentral